RNAcentral lists this transfer RNA (64 nucleotides) under Histeridae sp. BMNH 1274743. RNAcentral's name for it is "tRNA-Asn". The record is from RNAcentral. Lineage: Eukaryota; Metazoa; Arthropoda; Insecta; Coleoptera; Histeridae.
UUAAUUGAAACCAAAACAGAGGUAUAUCAUUGUUAAUGUUAAAAAUGGGGAAUCCCCAAUUAAG